UCAAACCAGAUCACUUUGUUUUAUCAAGUGUUCUAAAAUCGUGCUCUAAUCUAGCAGGGAGUCCUCAUUCCCACGGAAAGCAAAUUCAUGGGUACACAGUUAAAAAAGGUUUUGAAAUAGAAUCUGCAAUGACAACAUCUCUGAUUGAUAUGUACUCAAAAUGUGGCGAAAUUGACAGCAGUCUAACUUUGUUUCGAGCUGCGAAUGGUGUGCUCGACACACUGUGCUGGACAACCAUAAUUGCAGGGUGUGGGCAAAAUGGAAAGGAGAAAGAAGCAAUUGGAUAUUUUGGGGAAAUGUUAAGCUCAGGUGUGCAAGACAGGAAGUAAACGGUGAAGGAACUCUUACCUGGAAGUUGCCGGAAUGGACUGGAGGUAUCGCCCGCUGCUCGCCGGAUGGAAGUAUUUCCCUCACCGCAGCUCGCCGGAUGGAAGUAUCACCCUCACCGGACAGGUCGCUCGUCAGAAGUUGGAAUCGUAGUUGGUCAGAAAUCAGAAACGGGAGUGGGAGAAAAUCACAAACGGGAGUGGGAGAAAAAUUGAUGAGGGGAACUCGUUUGCCGUUGGGAGGGAAUGGGGGGGGUUUGGGGGUUUUGGGAUAGUUUUAAU
RNAcentral lists this long non-coding RNA (608 nucleotides) under Zostera marina. Its description in RNAcentral is "long non-coding RNA (ZMAR_LNC006157)". Lineage: Eukaryota; Viridiplantae; Streptophyta; Magnoliopsida; Alismatales; Zosteraceae. The record is from RNAcentral.